RNAcentral lists this ribosomal RNA (256 nucleotides) under Streptomyces sp. ISO105_OTU243. Its description in RNAcentral is "partial 16S ribosomal RNA". It matches the Rfam family "Bacterial small subunit ribosomal RNA", at positions 29 to 289 of the family's 1533-position model. Lineage: Bacteria; Bacillati; Actinomycetota; Actinomycetes; Kitasatosporales; Streptomycetaceae. RNAcentral also lists the same sequence under 1 other name. The record is from RNAcentral.
ACGAACGCUGGCGGCGUGCUUAACACAUGCAAGUCGAACGAUGAAGCCCUUCGGGGUGGAUUAGUGGCGAACGGGUGAGUAACACGUGGGCAAUCUGCCCUUCACUCUGGGACAAGCCCUGGAAACGGGGUCUAAUACCGGAUACCACUCCUGCCUGCAUGGGCGGGGGUUGAAAGCUCCGGCGGUGAAGGAUGAGCCCGCGGCCUAUCAGCUUGUUGGUGGGGUAAUGGCCCACCAAGGCGACGACGGGUAGCCG